CUGUUACUCACACUCACGUCUCAGGAGUUCAACAAAGAGCACAUGUUUGUGUUUCUUUAUUUCAGCAAUUUAUCUGAUGGAGCGUCUGUGCAAGUCCACAAACUGUGUGUCCAUCAAGAGAGGACUGGUUCACACAUGCAGCGGAAUAUUCUGUGGCUUUUAUGAAGAAUCGGAUGGUCUCUCUUCCUCUGGUAGGAAAUUAUUCCUGGGGCUACUGCUGUCACCUGAGCAAGCCUGGGGAGAACCAGACCAGUUCUGGAACCAGCACUGAUGCAAAUGCCCUCCUCACUGCUUCUGGCCCAGACAGGCAUACCAAGAAAAAUGAUCAACAAAAAGAAACCAAAAUUUUCUACCCAGAGGAAAACCUGAGUGAAUUUCCACAUCUGAAUUUCUAAUUACUAUUUGAAUAAUGGCUAAGUUGCCAUAUAUUUUGAUUCUUCAACAUGAUAUAAAAAUCAUUAAACUCAGCAAAAAGCCAUUUGGAUAAUAAAAUAGUUGUUUCCAUCUUAAACACAGUCAACACUCUACUCAAUACCCACAGCGGCCCACAGGACACACAUUUAGACUGAGAAUUACACACCACCUCACUCUCUUUGCCCUCAUUCCUGGAAAGGUGACUGGUUUUCAAGCUUAUCCUCACACUCUUGCUGCUAAUGCUCUCACUCCUUAUGGAAUGUGACCCUUUGUUACAUCUCAGACCCACUCUACUUGUUUAGUCAACAGCAUACUGUCUAAUGCCUUAGCGUUCCUCAUUCUUCCAACUCCCCGAUUUGAACUCUGAAACUUGCUCCAUCAGGUUCUUCUUCCCUCCCUCUCCUUCCUGCCAUCUGCUCAUUUGCCCCAUCACCCCGAGUCCGCUGGGACCUCCUUGUUACUUCAGGUCAUCCGUGUUCUUCUCUUUAUGAACCCAUUUCUGUAUAUUAUUGACCCUAUCACCCCCAAUUCCUUUAUUUAUUAAUAAAUUCCUGAUUGGGUCUCCUCUUCACCCACACCCCUUAAUACCUUGUGUUUCUCCUUCUCAGUAUAUGU
This is a long non-coding RNA of Diceros bicornis minor, 1029 nucleotides long. RefSeq lists it as uncharacterized. The transcript is spliced from 4 exons. The record is from RefSeq and is a predicted model, not a curated record. Lineage: Eukaryota; Metazoa; Chordata; Mammalia; Perissodactyla; Rhinocerotidae.